UACGUAGGGUGCAAGCGUUGUCCGGAAUUAUUGGGCGUAAAGAGCUCGUAGGCGGUUUGUCGCGUCGAAUGUGAAAACCCGGGGCUCAACCCCGGGCCUGCAUUCGAUACGGGCAGACUAGAGUUCGGUAGGGGAGUCUGGAAUUCCUGGUGUAGCGGUGAAAUGCGCAGAUAUCAGGAGGAACACCGGUGGCGAAGGCGGGACUCUGGGCCGAUACUGACGCUGAGGAGCGAAAGCAUGGGGAGCAAACAGG
RNAcentral lists this ribosomal RNA (253 nucleotides) under uncultured bacterium. RNAcentral describes it as "partial 16S ribosomal RNA". It matches the Rfam family "Bacterial small subunit ribosomal RNA", at positions 524 to 776 of the family's 1533-position model. The record is from RNAcentral.